GACGUAGGGCGCGAGCGUUGUCCGGAUUUAUUGGGCGUAAAGAGCUCGUAGGCGGUUUGUCGCGUCGAAUGUGAAAACCCGGGGCUCAACCCCGGGCCUGCAUUCGAUACGGGCAGACUAGAGUUCGGUAGGGGAGUCUGGAAUUCCUGGUGUAGCGGUGAAAUGCGCAGAUAUCAGGAGGAACACCGGUGGCGAAGGCGGGACUCUGGGCCGAUACUGACGCUGAAGAGCGAAAGCGUGGGGAGCAAACAGG
This 253-nucleotide ribosomal RNA is filed under the name uncultured bacterium. Its description in RNAcentral is "partial 16S ribosomal RNA". It matches the Rfam family "Bacterial small subunit ribosomal RNA", at positions 524 to 776 of the family's 1533-position model. The record is from RNAcentral.